AGGGCACCACCAGGAGUGGAGCCUGCGGCCUAAUUUGACUCAACACGGGAAAACUCACCCGGCCCGGACACUGGAAGGAUUGACAGAUUGAGAGCUCUUUCUUGAUUCAGUGGGUGGUGGUGCAUGGCCGUUCUUAGUUGGUGGAGUGAUUUGUCUGGUUAAUUCCGAUAACGAACGAGACUCUAGCCUACUAAAUAGAUCGUCGGCUUACAAACGCCGGCGAGACUUCUUAGAGGGACAGGCGGUGAUUCAACCGCACGAAACAGAGCAAUAACAGGUCUGUGAUGCCCUUAGAUGUCCGGGGCCGCACGCGCGCUACACUGAAGUGAUCAGCGUGCUUUUUCAACCUACUCUGUCAAGAGUGGGGAACCCAAUGAACCUUCUUCGUGAUUGGGAUAGGGGAUUGUAAUUAUUCCCCUUGAACGAGGAAUUCCCAGUAAGCGCGAGUCAUAAGCUCGCGUUGAUUACGUCCCUGCCCUUUGUACACACCGCCCGUCGCUACUACCGAUUGAAUGUUUU
This 519-nucleotide ribosomal RNA is filed under the name uncultured eukaryote. RNAcentral describes it as "SSU rRNA". It matches the Rfam family "Eukaryotic small subunit ribosomal RNA", at positions 1161 to 1699 of the family's 1831-position model. The record is from RNAcentral.